GAUGAACGCUGGCGGCGUGCCUAAUACAUGCAAGUCGAGCGAACAGACGAGGAGCUUGCUCCUCUGACGUUAGCGGCGGACGGGUGAGUAACACGUGGAUAACCUACCUAUAAGACUGGGAUAACUUCGGGAAACCGGAUCUAAUACCGUAUAAUAUAUUGAACCGCAUGGUUCAAUAGUGAAAUACGGUUUUGUUGUCACUUAUAGAUGGAUCCGCGCCGCAUUAGCUAGUUGGUAAGGUAACGGCUUACGAAGGCAACGGUGCGUAGCCGACCUGAGAGGGUGAUCGGCCACACUGGAACUGAGACACGGUCCAGACUCCUACGGGAGGAAGCAGUAGGAAAUCUUCCGAAUUGGGCGAAAGCCUGCCGGAGCAACGCCGCGUGAGUGAUGAAGGUCUUCGGACCUUAAAACUCUGUUAUUAGGGAAGAACAAAUGUGUAAGUAAAUAUGCACGUCUUGACGGUACCUAAUCAGAAAGCCACGGCUAACUACGUG
This 497-nucleotide ribosomal RNA is filed under the name uncultured bacterium. RNAcentral describes it as "partial 16S ribosomal RNA". It matches the Rfam family "Bacterial small subunit ribosomal RNA", at positions 28 to 507 of the family's 1533-position model. The record is from RNAcentral.